GUGGGGAAUCUUAGACAAUGGGCGCAAGCCUGAUCCAGCCAUGCCGCGUGUGUGAAGAAGGCCUUCGGGUUGUAAAGCACUUUUGUCCGGGAAGAAAUCUUCCAGGUUAAUACCCUGGGAGGCUGACGGUACCGGAAGAAUAAGCACCGGCUAACUUCGUGCCAGCAGCCGCGGUAAUACGAAGGGUGCAAGCGUUACUCGGAAUUACUGGGCGUAAAGCGUGCGUAGGUGGUUCGUUAAGUCUGCCGUGAAAGCCCCGGGCUCAACCUGGGAAUGGCGGUGGAUACUGGCGGGCUAGAGUGCGGUAGAGGGUGGUGGAAUUCCCGGUGUAGCAGUGAAAUGCGUAGAGAUCGGGAGGAACAUCUGUGGCGAAGGCGGCCACCUGGACCAGCACUGACACUGAGGCACGAAAGCGUGGGGAGCAAACAGGAUUAGAAACCCGAGUAGUCC
Molecule: ribosomal RNA, 450 nt
Filed under: uncultured bacterium
Lineage: Bacteria
Description: partial 16S ribosomal RNA
Rfam family: Bacterial small subunit ribosomal RNA
Source: RNAcentral